UACGUAGGUGACGAGCGUUAUCCGGAAUUAUUGGGCGUAAAGCGCCCGCAGGCGGCUGUUCAAGUCUGACGUGAAAUCGCUCGGCUUAACUGGGCGGGGUCGUUGGAAACUGAAUAGCUUGAGGCAAGGAGAGGGGCGUGGAAUUCCCGGUGUAGUGGUGGAAUGCGUAGAUAUCGGGAGGAACAUCAGUGGCGAAAGCGGCGCCCUGGCCUUAGCCUGACGCUCAGGGGCGAAAGCGUGGGGAGCGAACGGG
This 253-nucleotide ribosomal RNA is filed under the name uncultured bacterium. RNAcentral's name for it is "partial 16S ribosomal RNA". It matches the Rfam family "Bacterial small subunit ribosomal RNA", at positions 524 to 776 of the family's 1533-position model. The record is from RNAcentral.